RNAcentral lists this unclassified non-coding RNA (334 nucleotides) under soil metagenome. Its description in RNAcentral is "partial contains 5.8S ribosomal RNA, internal transcribed spacer 2, and large subunit ribosomal RNA". The stretch from base 1 to 120 matches the Rfam family "5.8S ribosomal RNA", at positions 35 to 154 of the family's 154-position model. The record is from RNAcentral.
GAUGAAGAACGUUGCGAAAUGCGAUAAGUAGUGUGAAUUGCAGAAUUCAGUGAAUCAUCGAAUCUUUGAACGCACAUUGCGCCCCUUGGUAUUCCAUGGGGCAUGCCUGUUCGAGCGUCAUUUGUACCUUCAAGCUUUGCUUGGUGUUGGGUGUUUGUCCAUUCUCUUGCAGAGGGACUCGCCUUAAAGUAAUUGGCAGCCAGUGUUUUGGUUUUGAAGCGCAGCACAAGUCGCGAUUCAACGCUAUACGCCAGCUUCCACAAGCCUUUUUCACUUUUGACCUCGGAUCAGGUAGGGAUACCCGCUGAACUUAAGCAUAUCAAUAAGCGGAGGA